This 83-nucleotide transfer RNA is filed under the name Chitinophagales bacterium. RNAcentral's name for it is "tRNA-OTHER". It matches the Rfam family "tRNA". From Rfam's summary of the family: Transfer RNA (tRNA) molecules are approximately 80 nucleotides in length. Their secondary structure includes four short double-helical elements and three loops (D, anti-codon, and T loops). The record is from RNAcentral. Lineage: Bacteria; Pseudomonadati; Bacteroidota; Chitinophagia; Chitinophagales.
GGAAAGUAGCAUGCAAUGGUGCAUAAGCGGUCUUGAAAACCGUGCCAUCAAUUUUGAUGAGGGUUCGAUUCCUUUACUUUCCG